GUUCCUGCCUGUGGAUUUUCUGUCCAUUAUUUCCCAAUCCUCCAUUUUUCUUUUGCGUGUCAUUCGAAAAUCAAUGGCAAGAACAAUAUAUAUCUGGCCAUCCUAUAUUUCACCAUUUCCCAAUAUUUAUUGUGGUCUCACCAAUAAUCAACAACGAAAUAUUAUAUGCAGAAAAGCAACAAAUGAAACAGAUUGGUACAUGUACAAGAUACGUGGAUAAGUAGUUUAGUUUCCAUGUGAGGCAAGUUAAAAUAUUGGAAUGGAUUGGUGCAAAUAUGGAUGAUGGAUAUCAUUAACGGGCCAACUGUAGA
Molecule: unclassified non-coding RNA, 311 nt
Filed under: Hevea brasiliensis (rubber tree)
Lineage: Eukaryota; Viridiplantae; Streptophyta; Magnoliopsida; Malpighiales; Euphorbiaceae
Source: RNAcentral